RNAcentral lists this transfer RNA (78 nucleotides) under Pyrolobus fumarii 1A. RNAcentral describes it as "tRNA-Asp (GTC) (tRNA-Asp-GTC-1-1)". It matches the Rfam family "tRNA". Rfam says of the family: Transfer RNA (tRNA) molecules are approximately 80 nucleotides in length. Their secondary structure includes four short double-helical elements and three loops (D, anti-codon, and T loops). Further hydrogen bonds mediate the characteristic L-shaped molecular structure. tRNAs have two regions of fundamental functional importance: the anti-codon, which is responsible for specific mRNA codon recognition, and the 3' end, to which the tRNAs corresponding amino acid is attached (by aminoacyl-tRNA synthetases). tRNAs cope with the degeneracy of the genetic code in two manners: having more than one tRNA (with a specific anti-codon) for a particular amino acid; and 'wobble' base-pairing, i.e. permitting non-standard base-pairing at the 3rd anti-codon position. Lineage: Archaea; Thermoproteati; Thermoproteota; Thermoprotei; Desulfurococcales; Pyrodictiaceae. The record is from RNAcentral.
GCCGCGGUAGUAUAGCCCGGACCAGUAUGCGGGCCUGUCAAGCCCGUGACCCGGGUUCAAAUCCCGGCCGCGGCGCCA